Python bivittatus (Burmese python) is the source of this 6512-nucleotide non-coding RNA. NCBI's taxonomy places the organism in Eukaryota, Metazoa, Chordata, Lepidosauria, Squamata, Pythonidae. The record is from RefSeq and is a predicted model, not a curated record.
UGUGUGUGUGUGUGUCUUUCAGGCAGAGAAUUCCGCACUGGCUAUGGAAAAUAAAAAUCAGAGAGAGCAGUAUGAAAGGUGUCUUGAUGAGGUAGCCAACCAGGUUGUACAAGCGCUGCUUACUCAGAAGGAUCUGAGAGAGGAAUGCUUGAAAUUGAAAACAAGAGUCUUUGACCUGGAACAACAAAACCAAACACUAAAUGUGCUAUUCCAGCAAAGAGUGAAACCAACAUCUGGCAUACUGUUUCAGGAAUGCCAGCAGAAUAUGAAAUCUGGAAUACCUGCCUUGAAAUGCCAGAGUCAGUUAAAUGGAAUUGGACCUCACCAAGUUUAUCCUCGAAGCAGCUGCAGCAGCAGUGAGCUCUCCUUGUCAAGUGCCUGCAGUGAAUAUUCCAGCAGUUCCUCCUGGAACGAUGGGAAAGCGUGCAGGAAAAAGUCAGUAAGCUGGGAUAAAAGGAUAAGUAUAGGCUCUUCACUCCCCAGCAACCAUUCCAGCCCUGCUGAUGAACUACCUCCAACUCAUAUCAAGGAAAACCACAUUUUGGAUGGGCUAAAGAAGCUACAAAAGCAAAAAAUAUUAUUAGAACCUCCUUCUCUUAUAUCCAAAUGGGGAUACAAAGAUUGCAUGGAUUCUAACGAAGGAAUCUAUUCUCCAGGAAUUAAGUACAGCGGUCAUAAAGAACAGGCCACUGGCAUGCCUGAAAUGGAGGCUGCUUGCACAGAUCACCCCCAAAUCUUUGUCUAUGAUUCUGAUUCCCAUGAGGAUGUAGAUGAUGACUCUUCAUCUUUAGCAUUGCUAUAUGAAGUACCAAGGAAAGACUGUCAGCACUACUGUAAUAAAUUAACUCACAGUGUUUCUGACAGCUUAUUUGGCUGGGAACCUGAUAGAAGGCAUUUAUCAGAAAUAAGUUCUUAUUUUAAUUCAAAGGAAAGGCCUGAAAAACUGACUAGUUUUGUCAAUGAAUUUCAGUUGGGUGCAAAAUCGUGCACUAAUAUGAAGCUGCCUGUGCUGCAGAUAGAUAAAAGUCUUUCCAGUGUAAGCUGGAGAGACCUUAAUUUACACCUUUCAGAUACUGAUGACAAUGAAAUCCUUGAUGAAUUACAUAUAGAAAGCAGCGAUGAGAAAAGCCCAUCAUAUUUGUCAUUAGCACCCUUUGCAGAAAAGAACACAGAGAACUCUGAUACGCAUGUGGAGAAAGAAAACACUCGACUGGCAUCUUCUGAAAAACAACCCAGUCAAAUGCUCACUCGCCCAGACAUUAGGACAAAGGCAUGUAAUUUUAUUAAGAAACAAAAAAUUAUAAAGAAGACUUCUUCAGAAGAAUGUAUUACUGUAAUAUUUGAUGCCGAAGAUGGCAAACCUAUUGAAUUCAAUUCACAUCAGGCUGGAAUUGUUACUGUAACUAGAAAUGAAAUUUCAAUCAACCAGCCGUAUUCUGGGUACAAUGCAGAAAACACUGCAUGUUUAUCUCAGGGAGUAUCUAAUUUGCAGAAAGCAAUAGAUACUAAAAGCUGCCAUGUUAUGCAAAUACCUGUUAAUAAAGCAGAGAGAAAAACUGCCCCAAAUGAUUUCAAGGAUGACUUUGCAAAGGUCCAGACUCCCUACGGCAGAGGAUGCCCCAUACACUUUGGAAAGCCACUGUUUCAAAACACCUCUCAGCAAAAGCUAGCAAAGCCAGUUUGCAGCAUUUCUUCUAAUCUGAGCUCCCCUUCUUGUAUCCAGGGGGGUAAUAAUCAAAAAUACAAAUUAACUAAAAUAUCCAGCAGAGACAAGUUUUUACCACAGAAAACAAAAGUGGGCAUGGCUGAAAACUUUCCUUUAGUCUCUUCGCAUUGUUUUAAGACCUUGGAUAAAAGUCCCUUGUCACCUGUAAAAUGGCCAAGACACAAAAAGAUGCAAAAUACAAAUCAGAAUUCAAAGGUAGGCUUGAAUAACUGCAAAGUAUUGGGCCAUCCAGCAGCCAAGAAUCUGCUCUCAGAAUCAACUGCCCUGCCUCAGCAUCUCAUAGAGCCCAUCAGUAGUGAAGAGAAAUCAACUAGAGAUGUCCAUUGUGAUAUACCACCGAUGGAGGCCAGCUCUCCAUCACCCCCCCUUCCUCCUGGCAGAUCAGCUUCGCUGUUGAUUAGACCAAAUUAUGAACAUUCACCCCCUGCCCGUGAUAAACCAGGUUUUCUCAGUGAGACAGUAAAAGAUGAUGUUCAGUUGACACCACUGAAAGGAAAUUCAGUGCCUGUUUGUCAUAACAUCACUGUCUGCGAAAUGCAAACUGAUAAAUUGCCUGCAACACCUCGAGCUGAAUUAAACCAUUUUCAGGACAAGGGAGAAGGCAAAUGUAUAUCAGAAAAGCCCCCGGCCGCAAGCCAAGUCAUUUCCAAGAUGUUUACAAAGAAAGUUUGUCCCCCAAACUCAAACCCACCCGUGUUUUGCAGUAACAGAGAAUUUUAUAAUUCCAGAGCCAUCCCCACAGCUUUCACAUCACAAGAUACAAACCCAUUGUCUCAGGAGACUGGUAUACUUCAGAAACCAAAGUUUCCAGAGAGUUUCUCCACUUCACCAGAACAUCACAUAAGCACAGUUGGGGAGCAGACUGUUCUGCCUCAAAUUAGUCCUUCUCCAGUCUUAUUGUUAUCUCAGGGCAGGGAUGAUGGAAACCUGUCUGACAAGGACCUGAAGCCUCAUCUGUCUGCGGGACUGAAAUUACUCAUAACAUCUCCCCGCUUUGUCCGAAAGAGUUCCACCGUGCCAGGGAAACAGGAAAAAGACUGUAUGAACGCAGCCUCUAAAUGCAGUGUGAAUUCAAAUAAACAGAGGCAGGGUGAAUCUUCAUCUCAAACCACCAUAGACUUAGCUGACACUGAAGAAAGGAGUCCAGAGCCCCAAAUAAAGGAAAGUUUCUCAAAGAAGCUCAGAAUGGAUCCAGCCUUCCCCACUUCCCCUGAAACUUGCAAUUUGAUAGAGAAAGACAGGCUCGAAAACAAAUCUGUUAAAAGAUCAGUUUCUUCUAGUAAUAAAGCAUACCUGAAGCCAGCUCUUGGUAUGACUGGAGCAAAGGCCCGUAGUCAAAGCUUCAGUAUUUAUACUGAAGAAAUAUUGCCAGCACCUUCCCUAGAACGGUUUGGAAAAGUUAGAACACAGAUUAUAACAAAUACAUCAGAAAGAGGGAAUUCUUUAACCAGACAAAACUCAACAGGGGAGGGAUUACAAAUUAAGAUUGUUUCGGAAUCAGCUGGGACAACAGAGGGAGUUCCUGCAGUUUCUUGUAGUAGGCAAGGCAUUUGUGCAAAAGUGAGUAGUUCCAGUAGUCAGAUGAGUAGCCCAAGCAAACUGCCAUUCCGUAUGUCUCCAAAAGGAGAUUUAUUUGCCAGUAUUUCAAAAAAGGGGAUCCACAAAUCAGCAUCACAGAGCGAAGUUCCAAGUACAUCUGGCCAAGAUGAAAAAAGCAGUGACAUUUCCAGACAUCAAUCAACAAUUGAAAAAAGUGUUACCCAAGCAGAAAUCAACCAAGCAACCAGUAUUUCUUCAGAGCAAAUUUUCCCACUUCAGAAAAAUCUGGACAGGAUGGAGUGUCAUCGUAAAGCUGAAGGAAGCAAGACAGUAUUGCAAGAAGCGUGUCUAAAUGGUCCCGAAGCCUCCGCGAAGGUUUCAGUUUCAACUACUUCACAUCCUACAAUAGAAGAAAAAGUCAUGUUGUGCAUACAAGAGAACAUGCAGAAAGGACAAGGGCAAAAUCGAUCUGCCACUGAGAUGAAACAAAAAAACGGGGGACCUUCUAUUGCCAGCUGGUUUGGUUUCCGUAAAAGUAAGCUCCCAGCCUUGAAUAACAGAAAAACAGAUACCUCAAAAGUAAAAGUAGAAAAGAAAGAUGUGAAAGUUUCAGCUUUUGGAAGUAAGCAAACCAAGUCUGAAAGAAGGAAAGACAAAAAGAAAAGUGAACAGCACUGUGAAGCAGAAAAUGAGCUGAACAAGAAAACUUGUGCGGUUUCAGAUGGUGCUCCAAAAGGAAAAAAAAUGGCAAAAGCCAUACAUAGUAACCUAAGCCAAACAAGAUUCGAGCAGAAGAGCAGCCCUACUACCAUGUACUCAGGAAAAGACAACUUUAUGAAAGAGCUUUUACACAGAGUUGAUAAGAAAGCAGCCCAGCAGACAGAAAGUGGAUCAAAAAAUGUUUCCUACAGGAGCGUGUCGAAGAGCAUAUCCCAGGGUUCUUCUCUUCCCAGCAACUCUAUCAAUACUCAGAGAAACCAGAAGAAAAACAGCAAAACAAAGAUUGAUAUAGAAAUACCAAAUGAGUCCUUGGUCAAGGAAGUAAGGGAAAACUUUCAAGAGGAUGCAGAAGAUACACUCGCAGAUUCAACAAAUCAAAGCCAUUUAAUAGAAUCCUGUUGCCAAAUGAGGACAUUGGACAGUGGAAUAGGAACCUUUCCUCUCCCAGACUCAGGAAACCGUUCAACAGGCCGACAUGUUUCUAAACAAGGAAUGGAUUUAGAAAACGAAGAUUUCACAUCACCUGAGCAACCUUUUCCUCAGACUCCUUCUGAGAAAGCCAAAACCCUAGAACGAGAAGUGCCUUCAACAACUAGUAAAAGCCAGGGAUCUGUAGAGAGCAUAAUUUCUCAUUCAGCAUCAGAUCCUGCAAUGACUGAUAGAGGUGUGCAGACUUUUCAGAGUCGUCUUCCAAAAUCAGCUUCUUCAGGAAUAACAAGCCCCAUGGAAAAACAUAGUCAAGAAUCUAGUUCUUUGGCUUCUGCCUCAUUAGAACAUUCAGAAGAAGAAAAAAGUGGCAAUGCAAAGAUGUUUUCAGACUGGAGCAGCAAAAAUGCUAUCAAAGCCAAGGACAGGGCACUGAGAGUGUGCACUUACUCUGCUAGCAGUAGCAGUGAUACCGAAAUGGAUCUAGAGCAUGAAACAAAUGAUUUUGGAACUGGAGGGGAAACGUUGGUAGAUUUAAUGAAGAACAACAAACAAGGUGGUGUUGAACACACCUGGCUGGUUCUGGAUUAAUUUAGAAACAUGUUUAGGAGAUGACCUUGGAAGAGAUUGCUCAAGUGAGUUACAUUACUUCAUUUCUAAACAGCACUGAACAUCUACAACUGGAUUCUCAUCAUGGGCAUCAGUGUGCCAGAAAUUGAAGCAACCUGAGGAAACAAAAGAAGAUUCUGGAAAAAAAAAAAAGGAUGUCUAAAAUUUGCCCUGAAUCUCUCAAUACAUUUAAUAGCAACAGAUGCAUUUUGUUGGGGGAAAAAUAACAGUCCAAACAAGGUUGAAGGGCAAGAAGAAGAUGGGAAGAAUGAAGAAAUGUCUCUAAGUAGUUCUUGAAGUAUAGAACACAUAGAAUCUUUGAGCAAUUCUUUAUAUGAUAGCUUCUCAACCAGUGCAAGCUAAGAGUCAUACAAUGUUUAAAGACACGCUACAGUGAUGAAGCACUUAAGAAACAGAAGAACUAACUAAGAGCAGUUAAAUAUAUCAAGAGUUGCUAAGACUCACAAUAGCAUAUAUCCUGAUGUAAUCAUACAAUAAAGAGAGGAGACUGCAUCCUUGGGAAAAGAAAGAAAAUGCAAUACCUGUAACACAGUUAUAACUUUUAAAGUCUUAAUUUGCACUUUUAUGAAUUCUUGUACAGAAGUUGUAAAAAUGUUCUUUGACAAAGAAAAUUAUAUUUGUAGAAAAACAUGAUAGCAAUAAAUACUAAUUCAUGCCAUGCUUCUGAAAUGGCACAUUACUAACUUUGAAUACUGGUCUUAAUGUUAACAAAAUUAGUGAUCAUUUUUAUAAAAUAAAGUUUUAUAAACAUUCUAGUCUUAAAAUUGUAUGCAGCUGAAUCGCUUUAUUUGCCAAAAUUGAAGUUGCCAAAUUACACUAAAACUGCUUGGAUCACAUUAUACAACAUAAAAAUGUUAUUUUGAAACCAAGAUUUAUUAUGAAUUCACACUUCCAAAAGAUACUCCAUCUGUAAUCUUCUAUCAUUGAUAUAUCUUAUGCUGAUUUAACCUGUAUUCGGAUUUUAUCUUGUUAUUUCAGAAUCAUGGAGAAAAGGCCAUUUAGAUUUGUAAUUUACAUGUUAAAUUUUUGUAAUAAGGAAAAAAAUGGUGCUAGCAAAGAAAUUUGUGAAGGUUGUUUUUCCUACAAAGACUGUUUAUAUGUGAGGGAAACAUCUAUUUCAAAGGUGGAGUGUUAUUUUUUUCUAGAUGUGGAGUAUUUAUAACAACUUUUGUACAGCGAUCUGUAAGCUAGCUAUGUUUGUGAUACUUCUAGUCAUUUUACUACGUUUAUAGCAAAUUCCUAUUCAUUUUUCCUCACACUAUGAUGUAAUAUCAGUGUUAUGUUAUUAAUACGUUUGUGCAUGUUACAUUUUAUGUUGUUUUAAAUAUACUGUCAGGGUGGGAUUUUAUUCUCUCAGACUUUUAUAAAAUUUAUUUUGGAAGUUAUUUCUGAAUAAAAGUCGUAUCACAUCUGGAUAUUCUAAUAUAUAUGACAAAAUAGUCAUUUCAGCAAACAUUAAUCCAUGGAAAUG